UGGGGUGUAGCUCAACGGGAGAGCGCCGGAUUCCAAACCCGGUAUGUUGCAAGUUCGAAUCUUGUCACCCUGG
RNAcentral lists this transfer RNA (73 nucleotides) under Nocardia vulneris. RNAcentral describes it as "tRNA-Trp". It matches the Rfam family "tRNA". From Rfam's summary of the family: Transfer RNA (tRNA) molecules are approximately 80 nucleotides in length. Lineage: Bacteria; Bacillati; Actinomycetota; Actinomycetes; Mycobacteriales; Nocardiaceae. The record is from RNAcentral.